AGUGAACGCUGGCGGUAGGCCUAACACAUGCAAGUCGAACGGCAGCACAGUAAGAGCUUGCUCUUACGGGUGGCGAGUGGCGGACGGGUGAGGAAUACAUCGGAAUCUACUUUUUCGUGGGGGAUAACGUAGGGAAACUUACGCUAAUACCGCAUACGACCUACGGGUGAAAGCAGGGGAUCUUCGGACCUUGCGCGAUUGAAUGAGCCGAUGUCGGAUUAGCUAGUUGGCGGGGUAAAGGCCCACCAAGGCGACGAUCCGUAGCUGGUCUGAGAGGAUGAUCAGCCACCGUGGAACGGAGACACGGUCCAAACUCCUACGGGAGGCAGCAGUGGGGAAUAUUGGACAAUGGGCGGAAGCCUGAUCCAGCCAUACCGCGUGGGUGAAGAAGGCCUUCGGGUUGUAAAGGCCUUUUGUUGGGAAAGAAAAGCAGCAGGUUAAUACCCCGCUGUUCUGACGGUACCCAAAGAAUAAGCACCGGCUAACUUCGU
Molecule: ribosomal RNA, 491 nt
Filed under: uncultured bacterium
Lineage: Bacteria
Description: partial 16S ribosomal RNA
Rfam family: Bacterial small subunit ribosomal RNA
Source: RNAcentral